UACGUAGGGUGCAAGCGUUACUCGGAAUUACUGGGCGUAAAGCGUGCGCAGGCGGUUGUGCAAGACAGAUGUGAAAUCCCCGGGCUUAACCUGGGAACUGCAUUUGUGACUGCACGGCUGGAGUGCGGCAGAGGGGGAUGGAAUUCCGCGUGUAGCAGUGAAAUGCGUAGAUAUGCGGAGGAACACCGAUGGCGAAGGCAAUCCCCUGGGCCUGCACUGACGCUCAUGCACGAAAGCGUGGGGAGCAAACAGG
This 253-nucleotide ribosomal RNA is filed under the name uncultured bacterium. RNAcentral's name for it is "partial 16S ribosomal RNA". It matches the Rfam family "Bacterial small subunit ribosomal RNA", at positions 524 to 776 of the family's 1533-position model. The record is from RNAcentral.